RNAcentral lists this ribosomal RNA (253 nucleotides) under uncultured bacterium. RNAcentral describes it as "partial 16S ribosomal RNA". It matches the Rfam family "Bacterial small subunit ribosomal RNA", at positions 524 to 776 of the family's 1533-position model. The record is from RNAcentral.
UACGAAGGGGGCUAGCGUUGCUCGGAAUCACUGGGCGUAAAGCGCACGUAGGCGGCUUGUUAAGUCAGGGGUGAAAUCCUGGAGCUCAACUCCAGAACUGCCUUUGAUACUGGCGAGCUUGAGUCCGGGAGAGGUGAGUGGAACUGCGAGUGUAGAGGUGAAAUUCGUAGAUAUUCGCAAGAACACCAGUGGCGAAGGCGGCUCACUGGCCCGAUACUGACGCUGAGGCACGAAAGCGUGGGGAGCAAACAGG